This 90-nucleotide transfer RNA is filed under the name Candidatus Falkowbacteria bacterium CG11_big_fil_rev_8_21_14_0_20_39_10. RNAcentral describes it as "tRNA-Ser". It matches the Rfam family "tRNA". Rfam says of the family: Transfer RNA (tRNA) molecules are approximately 80 nucleotides in length. Their secondary structure includes four short double-helical elements and three loops (D, anti-codon, and T loops). Further hydrogen bonds mediate the characteristic L-shaped molecular structure. tRNAs have two regions of fundamental functional importance: the anti-codon, which is responsible for specific mRNA codon recognition, and the 3' end, to which the tRNAs corresponding amino acid is attached (by aminoacyl-tRNA synthetases). tRNAs cope with the degeneracy of the genetic code in two manners: having more than one tRNA (with a specific anti-codon) for a particular amino acid; and 'wobble' base-pairing, i.e. permitting non-standard base-pairing at the 3rd anti-codon position. Lineage: Bacteria; Candidatus Falkowiibacteriota. The record is from RNAcentral.
GGAGAGGUGCUAGAGUGGUUGAAUAGGACGCUCUCGAAAAGCGUUGUGCCUUAACGGGUACCGUGGGUUCAAAUCCCACCCUCUCCGCCA